Molecule: ribosomal RNA, 497 nt
Filed under: uncultured bacterium
Lineage: Bacteria
Description: partial 16S ribosomal RNA
Rfam family: Bacterial small subunit ribosomal RNA
Source: RNAcentral
GAUGAACGCUGGCGGCGUGCCUAAUACAUUCGAGUCGAGCGAACAGACGAGGAGCUUGCUCCUCUGACGUUAGCGGCGGACGGGUGAGUAACACGUGGAUAACCUACCUAUAAGACUGGGAUAACUUCGGGAAACCGGAGCUAAUACCGGAUAAUAUAUUGAACCGCAUGGUUCAAUAGUGAAAGACGGUUUUGCUGUCACUUAUAGAUGGAUCCGCGCCGCAUUAGCUAGUUGGUAAGGUAACGGCUUACCAAGGCAACGAUGCGUAGCCGACCUGAGAGGGUGAUCGGCCACACUGGAACUGAGACACGGUCCAGACUCCUACGGGAGGCAGCAGUAGGGAAUCUUCCGCAAUGGGCGAAAGCCUGACGGAGCAACGCCGCGUGAGUGAUGAAGGUCUUCGGAUCGUAAAACUCUGUUAUUAGGGAAGAACAAAUGUGUAAGUAACUAUGCACGUCUUGACGGUACCUAAUCAGAAAGCCACGGCUAACUACGUG